CGGAGGGGGUUAGCGUUGUUCGGAAUGACUGGGCGUAAAGCGCGCGUAGGCGGAUCAGGAAGUCGGGGGUGAAAUCCCGGGGCUCAACCCCGGAAUGGCCUUCGAGACUCCUGGUCUGGAGUUCGAGAGAGGUGGGUGGAAUUCCGAGUGUAGAGGUGAAAUUCGUAGAUAUUCGGAGGAACACCAGUGGCGAAGGCGGCCCACUGGCUCGACACUGACGCUGAGGCGCGAAAGCGCGGGGAGCAAACAGGAUU
This 254-nucleotide ribosomal RNA is filed under the name uncultured bacterium. RNAcentral's name for it is "partial 16S ribosomal RNA". It matches the Rfam family "Bacterial small subunit ribosomal RNA", at positions 526 to 779 of the family's 1533-position model. The record is from RNAcentral.